AAGACUUCUUAAUUCCUUCUGGAGUAGGCUUCUAGUGAAUUCACAGACAACUGCACCAGUGUUUUGAAUCAGGCUUGAUGUUUGUUUUCUUCUUUUUCAUCAAGGCGGCCUUUUCUCCCUGCUGACCCCCUACCAAAGGCACAGUGGUGUGGAAGCUAAGAUUUCAUCUGGAGACACUCUCGAAGCACUUGGCCAAGGCACUGAAACUCGCUGCACUGCUCUUUAUUCAACUGUAAAAUGUGGGUGUCAUUGGGGUUCCUAAUUUGAAUCUACUCUGAGAUUCAGGAAUUUCUGGACAUAUACGAUCAAGUUGUAGGAUGGUUUCAUUAGAACCCUAUUUUCAGGACAG
Molecule: long non-coding RNA, 349 nt
Filed under: Equus asinus (donkey)
Lineage: Eukaryota; Metazoa; Chordata; Mammalia; Perissodactyla; Equidae
Description: lncRNA (ENSEASG00005033867.1)
Source: RNAcentral